AUGGCAUUGGGAACAGAUGGUGAAGGUUUCCAUAAAACAGAAGAGGAAACAGACCUGUCUUCAGUGAGGACUUCAAAGUGUCUCAUUCCUCACAAUGAGUAUGACAUGGAAGAUAAGGCAAGAAGAAACUCACAUAUCAGAUUUGCUCACAACUGUGUCACCGAUAUAGAAUAGUGUUUCAGCUCUAGGAAGCCAAAGUAUAUGUUACAGAAAAGAGGGGCCAGCAACAUGCCCUAGAAAAAAAUAAUAAUGUCUCCUCUAGAUCAAGGCAACUGCACAAAACUAAAAUUGGAAUUAGCUAGCAUACGAGGCAAACCCAGUCUUGCAAUUAAUGUUUUAUCUUUUUGCAAGUCCUACUUGAGGUUCAUUUUCGUUGUGAAUAGAAACCAGAAAUUGCCAUGUUGAACACAUAGCUCUUUCCUGACAGAUUUCUUAUCUCACUGUGUUACGGAUAUUAUAAGGGAGAAGCUGCAUUAUACGAAACCAGCAUGAUUGUCUGUUGAUGCUCAGCUGCCUGGGAAGGAAUGGGAUACGAAGCUUAGAAAAUAAAGUUGCCUGAACUAUACGGAGACCUGCCA
This 578-nucleotide long non-coding RNA is filed under the name Sus scrofa (pig). Its description in RNAcentral is "lncRNA (ENSSSCG00040000620.1)". Lineage: Eukaryota; Metazoa; Chordata; Mammalia; Artiodactyla; Suidae. The record is from RNAcentral.